CGUGUAGGUGGCAGUCCAAGUCUGGUGUGAAAGCCCACGGCUCAACCGUGGAACUGCAUUGGAAACUGGGCAGCUCGAGUGUUGGAGGGGGUCGCGGAAUUCCCGGUGUAGAGGUGAAAUUCGUAGAUAUCGGGAGGAACACCAGUGGCGAAGGCGGCGACCUGGCCAAUCACUGACACUGAGACGCGAAAGCGUGGGGAGCAAACAGGAUUAGAUACCCUGGUAGUCCACGCCGUAAACGAUGGGUGCUAGCCAUAUCGGGUGUUGACCCUUAGGUGUGGCGAAGCCAACGCGUUAAGCACCCCGCCUGGGGAGUACGGUCGCAAGAUUAAA
RNAcentral lists this ribosomal RNA (333 nucleotides) under uncultured Pseudomonadota bacterium. RNAcentral's name for it is "bacterial SSU rRNA". It matches the Rfam family "Bacterial small subunit ribosomal RNA", at positions 568 to 898 of the family's 1533-position model. Lineage: Bacteria; Pseudomonadati; Pseudomonadota. The record is from RNAcentral.